AGUGAACGCUGGCGGUAGGCCUAACACAUGCAAGUCGAACGGCAGCACAGUAAGAGCUUGCUCUUACGGGUGGCGAGUGGCGGACGGGUGAGGAAUACAUCGGAAUCUACUUUUUCGUGGGGGAUAACGUAGGGAAACUUACGCUAAUACCGCAUACGACCUACGGGUGAAAGCAGUGGAUCUUCGGACCUUGCCCGAUUGAAUGAGCCGAUGUCGGAUUAGCUAGUUGGCGGGGUAAAGGCCCACCAAGGCGACGAUCCGUAGCUGGUCUGAGAGGAUGAUCAGCCACACUGGAACUGAGACACGGUCCAGACUCCUACGGGAGGCAGCAGUGGGGAAUAUUGGACAAUGGGCGCAAGCCUGAUGCAGCCAUACCGCGUGGGUGAAGAAGGCCUUCGGGUUGUAAAGCCCUUUUGUUGGGAAAGAAAAGCAGCAGGUUAAUACCCCGCUGUUCUGACGGUACCCAAAGAAUAAGCACCGGCUAACUUCGUG
This 492-nucleotide ribosomal RNA is filed under the name uncultured bacterium. RNAcentral describes it as "partial 16S ribosomal RNA". It matches the Rfam family "Bacterial small subunit ribosomal RNA", at positions 29 to 507 of the family's 1533-position model. The record is from RNAcentral.